GAUGUAGGUGGCUUUGUAAGUCAGGUGUGAAAGCCCAGGGCUCAACCCUGGAAGUGCAUUUGAUACUGCGAAGCUUGAGUGGUGGAUAGGUAAACAGAAUUCCUGGUGUAGUGGUGAAAUACGUAGAUAUCAGGAGGAAUACCGGAGGCGAAGGCGGUUUACUGGCCACACACUGACACUCAGAUCCGAAAGCAUGGGGAUCAAACA
This 207-nucleotide ribosomal RNA is filed under the name uncultured delta proteobacterium. Its description in RNAcentral is "partial 16S ribosomal RNA". It matches the Rfam family "Bacterial small subunit ribosomal RNA", at positions 568 to 774 of the family's 1533-position model. The record is from RNAcentral. Lineage: Bacteria; Deltaproteobacteria.